GAUUCUUCGGAUGAAGCUUUAUGUGACUGAGCGGCGGACGGGUGAGUAACGCGUGGGCAACCUGCCUUACACAGGGGGAUAACAGUUAGAAAUGACUGCUAAUACCGCAUAAGACCGCGGUGCCGCAUGGCACAGCGGUAAAAACUCCGGUGGUAUGGGAUGGGCCCGCGUCUGAUUAGCUAGUUGGCGGGGUAACGGCCCACCAAGGCGACGAUCAGUAGCCGACCUGAGAGGGCGACCGGCCACAUUGGGACUGAGACACGGCCCAAACUCCUACGGGAGGCAGCAGUGGGGAAUAUUGCACAAUGGGGGAAACCCUGAUGCAGCGACGCCGCGUGAGCGAUGAAGUAUUUCGGUAUGUAAAGCUCUAUCAGCAGGGAAGAAGAUGACGGUACCUGACUAAGAAGCCCCGGCUAACUACGUGCCAGCAGCCGCGGUAAUACGUAGGGGGCAAGCGUUAUCCGGAUUUACUGGGUGUAAAGGGAGCGUAGACGGCGAUGCAAGCCAGAUGUGAAAGCCCGGGGCUCAACCCCGGGACUGCAUUUGGAACUGUGUGGCUGGAGUGUCGGAGAGGCAGGCGGAAUUCCUAGUGUAGCGGUGAAAUGCGCAGAUAUUAGGAGGAACACCAGUGGCGAAGGCGGCCUGCUGGACGAUGACUGACGUUGAGGCUCGAAAGCGUGGGGAGCAAACA
RNAcentral lists this ribosomal RNA (691 nucleotides) under uncultured bacterium. RNAcentral describes it as "bacterial SSU rRNA". It matches the Rfam family "Bacterial small subunit ribosomal RNA", at positions 70 to 774 of the family's 1533-position model. The record is from RNAcentral.